GCAUCGUUGUCAUGCAGGCAGGGCUGCCGGCUCCCCAAGCCUCCUCCCCGCGAUAACAACCCAGGUCUCAAGCUCUCCAUCGCUUACCACCUGCAGACGUGAAUCAUCUUCAGAACUGGCAACAUCGCUACUUUCAUUGGGUGUCUCAACAGCUUCUUUCUCUAUCUUAAUGGGCAUACUCGACUUACGAGAUUUCUUCUUGGGGAGCAUGUCAAAUGGCAAUUCAUUGGAAACAAGCUGCUCUGGUAUUGAGGAAGAAACAAGAGGCAGAGAAGGAAGAGUACCUGGAGUAUUGGCAAGCUCAGCUGGUGUGACUGGACUACGGUAAAAAGGAAGAACAGGCUGUACUGUCUUCAGGUUUGGAAAGAGGACACCGUUGUGUCCAAUACUGGAAAAUCCAGCCUGGCCUUUUGAAUCUGUACAAGAGCUGGCAUAGCUGGAAAUAGUUCUGCUAUCCGGAGUUAAAAUUGUAAAUUCUGUCCUUUUACUAUCUCCAGGUCCAGCAAUGGUCAAACCAUUUCUUAGAUCUUUAUCCCUGUUAUUUCUGUUCAUUGGCAUAUGGAGUCUGGGGUUAGGAUUUGCACUAUGACGAUUUCGACUACGCAAUGAGCUAAACACCAUGUUGCAGCCCUCAAUGGUGCAUUUGUGCUUUAUCUUCAGAUGAACAGCAUUGUAAUGUAUUUUCAAAGUACCUUUGUCGUAAAAUGUUUUUUCACAUGCAGUGCAGAAGACACGCCCUUUCCUUGGCCCAGCAUUUUUUUCAACAGAUUUAAUUUUGUUUUCUGGAGAUAGUGCUGUCAUUUCAAGCUUUGCUGCUGUAUUAUGUGAACUGGAAUCACUUAAAAGGGCAUCAUCUUCUGUUUUAGUGACAUCUGGACCAUUUAUGCUCCUCUCAUUUUCAACUUGAAAUGGUGCAGAACUAGAAGUUAAGAAGCUGCUUUCAGAAAAUGGUAUCUGAAGAUCUUGUUUGGUUUCAUUGCUAUGGUCUUGACCUUGCUCAAUCAAAUGUCUUUCUGGUGGUGAACCUAUCAAAGGUGGAGGCACUGGACUGAAAAACUGAAACGGCAGCAUGAAAGCCAUGUUAUUUACAAUAUUCUCAAAGGGAUGAAUGUUGGUGGGACUCAUUUUGUCCAAGGAAGCAGAAAAAUUAGGACUGUGUGGAUUGCAGCUCUCAAUGAAUGCCCUAAUAUCCAAAUUGGCAGUUGGUGGUGGUAUUAUGAUCGAUUGCCCUUCUUUCUCUUGAAUUGCCAUUAACUCUACAAUGGACUUAGUUUCUCCAAAGCGAAGAAACUGCUGCAAAGUAGCCAGUUCUUCUUCAGUGGUCAUUAUGCUCCAGUGAUCCAGCACCUUUCCUGAAGCAUCCUAAAGCCAAAAAUAUUUAAAUGAGUUAGACAUUAGUUAAGGCAAACAAAAAACACCUCCCCCUCAAAUGUCUCAUUUUUUUCAGGGACUAAAAUUUCUUCUCUAGCAAAACAAUACAAACAUUGAAUUUAAUGGGAUUAAUGUGAAGUCUGUGAUAAUUUCUUCCAAAUGUUACCAUGUUGGUGAUAUUAUUUCUUCAUGAACUAACAGUAAUACUUUCCAAUAAACUAUUUUUUUUCACAGAAAUUAAGACAGGUUAUUUGAAAAACAGAUAGUAUCUUGUAAGCACAGACAGCAGAGAUGGAGCAAUCAGACCAAGAUUUAGCUCCUCAUUUAAGUCAAGUAUUCUUUCAUUGCAAGUUUAAUAAUCUUCCAAGCAACUAAGAUCAGAGAACAAAUGAACCUGUAUUGAUCUAUUGCCAGUUUUCACAGAGCACAGCUGUAAUUACACUAGUGUUGGAGUUCUUUCAAACUCUAGCUAUGCCUAACUUUUCCCAAUAACUACAAUAAAUAUUUUAUCACAGAACAUGUAUUUGAUGGCCUACUGAGAUUUUUCACAGUGCAUGUAAGAGUUUCUAAGAUGAUGAAGAACGUAACAUUAUAAAUUUUUCAUGUGAUAGAGGUUCAAGGUAAUUGAUUCCAUAUUUUUAAUCCUAACACUAAAAAGCAAGAUUAUCAAGACCAUUAAAUAUUGAUUCAUGUCAUAAUGUAAGAUCAUAAUGUUACUUUACAUAAAAGGUAACUUCCACAGCAGCAAGGACUAACAUCAGUGGAAAAACAUAGGGCCAAAUACACUCUGGCUGCAGCUCCAGUAAGGUCGGUAGCACUAUACCAGAGAUUAAUAUUGUCCCUAGUGUUUUAAAUAAUGGUAAGUUUAUUUCUUGAUGCAUUAUUCUGCUGUAUAAAAGCAAACUCACUGUUUAAAUAAUACUGGAGCAAAUUCUAAAGCCUUUACUUUGAUACAUUACCAGUAACUGUUGAUUUUUAUUUUUGCUUACCUUUGUUAGAUUUGAGCAAGUGGAAAGAUUUCUAUUAAGUCCAACUAAAAAAAAAGAGACCAAUCACCAGAAAUUCACCCUUUCUUUUCUGGCAUUAAGCUCAUACAGGUCUAUUACUGCCUUUCAGAUGCGCCACACUGUUAACAUAUUGUGAACCACUGAGAAGAUUAAACUAGAAAACUACUUAACUGUCAUAUUUCUAUAAAAAAGCCCCUCUAAAUACCUGUAGCACAUAUCCACGUAUAUAAUCCUGCAGUGUCCAAUCCAGAGCAUGGAGAAUCUGUAUCACCUCUUCCUGCUUCAGAACACUGAAAAGCCGAUCGAGCAGAAUUUUAAGGCGCACAGGAAUGGCUUGGGUUCCAUACAACAUGAGGCUACUGAUAUCAAAGACAACAUUGGAUUGAACUAUUUCUACUUGGCUUGAUGGGUAGAGGUUUGGAAUCCUUAGUUUGCUCAGGGCUGAAAAUAAAAAUCACAAAAUGUAAAUAAACUUGAGUCCCGAGAGAGAGAAAAUUGAAUGCAACUAAUAUUGGUGUGGGGGUUGAGGGGUGACACAAAAAGCAUGUAAUAGUUAUGAGGAUCCUAAACGGUUUUCUAUAGAUUGUAGAAACAAAUAUUACCAUGUGCUACCCAUCCAUGCCGGCACUGGUCACAUUGUCGCUGAUUUAUUUUCCCAGGCUUGAAACACUGACAACUACAGUUCAUGAGAGUGCACCGGAUAGCCUGGAGAUCAAUGAGAAGCAUGAUAGGUGAUACAUAAGCACCGUUCAGUGUGCAGAUUAUACAUCCACAGUACCCCCAUAAAACCCCCAUGAAGACAGCGUUAACACACCAGCACACACCUAUCCAUGUGCAAUAUAAGUAAUCCAGGCAAAGCCUGAGUUAUACAAAGCUACCUCUGCCUGAAAGAGUCAAGUCACCAGAAGAAACACUACAGUAAUAUGGAAGCAGGAUAUUUAACAAUAUACAUAGCAACACUUCUGUGGAUCUAUUUAGGCUGAAGCACCUUCAUAACCAUUAUAAAGUGUUACAAGCUGUGAUCCUCAUGUAUGAUCACUUUCUCAGGAAGGUUUGAAAACAGAUGUACAGAUCAAAGACCCCCUCUCUUGCAGUUCUGCUGGAACUCCACACUGCAAUGUAGGAAGUUCUAAUGAGCACUGCAUUAGCUCUGCACAGAUGCCAUGCCCUACACACAUGGAAUUCACAUGGAAUAUAUGUAUUCUGUCAAAGACACAGGAGUUCCCUAAUGCUUCUCAGUAACAAAGUUCACCAAAAAGUACUCCAAUUCCUCAAAGACUAAACAAUCACAUUUUGUAAGGGAAAUGCUUGAAAGCAAAAUAGAGCACACAGAGAGCAACCAGUUGCACAGUUCCAAUUUGUACAUCACUUUACUCUCACCAAGGUCAUCUAUAAUGCAAAUCAAAUUAGUAUUCAGAUGUCCCUAAUCAAUGGGGUGAUACAAACGUGCUUCCUGGAAUACAUGAUUUCUUCUGUAUGUGCCCAUCUGCUGCAGAAGGCAAACAGACAACUUGGAGGUCCUAGUUAAAGCUCCAGAGGGACUGCUACAGAGCAAAGCUUUUGCAGGAUUCUGCACUGCUUGGAUCUGAUACUGAGAAUAGUUCCUGCAUAAACAGAAUAUUUAUUGAGGGAGGGAAAGCAAAGAAAUUGAUGUGCAGGAGAUCUUCACUGGAAUAAUAAAGAAAAAGAGUUAGAUCAUGCAAUUGUAAAAUGUCUGCAUUUUUCUGCUUUUAAAUUAAUGUUCCCUCUCCUCAGGUCUUACGCAAACUGGGGACUUCCACUCCUCAAAAAACCCAUAAGAAAGUAAGAUAAGAUUUGAAGAAAAAAGGAAACGUGGCAUUCCCACACUGGCACUUCAGAAAACAUACAAGGAAGCCUGAUUAUCUGAAAACUUGAUAAGAAAGAUGGAUGCAAGAAACAUUUAAACUCAAAAGUACAUGGCAGAAAGAUUGUUCCACUGAGAUUUGCAAUGGGCAUUUCUUUAGACUUAAAGAAUCUGAUGGAGGGCAGAAGAGGACACUUCAUACAAAUGCUUUCUACAAACAAGCAUGUUCAUGACAUUUGGAUGCCUAGUGCUUCACAGUAAUGGAUUUGGAGUGAGCUUUUAAAACCUCAGUGUCUGGCUUAUCCAGGAGUUACGUGACAUGCACAUCUCCAAACUGCAGUGACUUGAUGCUGAGAUUUGCCAAAAUUUGAAGAAUCGGAACAAGUGGCAACAGGGCUUUUGAAAUCUCUGAAUCACUUUACCUUUAAUCUUUUAAAGGAGCCAUUGCAAAAUCCUGUGUUCUUGAGAAAAGCUCUGUGCUCCCCAUGAAGUCAUAAAAUACACAUCAAUACCCUAUGCAGUGUCAAUUGCUUCAUUUUAAUGGAGGAUAUAUUUUCACUUAGAUGCUAAAAUCUUUCCACAUAACAAUAAAAAGCCAUAAAUUUCUGAUGGAAAGGCUGGGGGAAGAAAAUGUGCAGUUGACUGUGGAUUCAUUUCUACCACAAGAUAUCAAACAAUAAUGCAGUUCAAAUCUUCUGCCUCUCUACAUAUAUAAUAUUCUGUGACUUGCCUGGACUGAAGCCCUUCCACAGGCAACCCUGCUAGGUUCAGAAAGGUACAGUGCAUUCCAAAAAUGCAUCUUUUACAUUCCCUUCAGACAAAAUUACAAAAGAGUACUUCCUUUUUCUGCAAGAAGUAACAGAAAUCUGCACAAUGAAAAAAGCUGUCACGAUGAUAAGUUAAUUGAGAUUUCAAAAUUUUUUUCAUUCCUUUUCCUUUGGACAUGUUCCACAAACCACUGACCUUUAAAACUAUUUUUUCUACUUAAUUUGUGUACUUGGACAAGAAAGAUAUGCCACACCAAAUUUUGCAUUUCAUAGCUUUCUAUAAGAGCUUUCUUCUAUAUGGUACAUGUAUUUAUUUUGCUUUCCUGUGUAUGUGUAGAAGACUGCACAUGCCAAAACAGGAACAAGUAAAAGGAGGACAUUUUGUUUUACAUAUAUGAAAGCAGCUGUUACAAAGGGAGUAGAGCUCCCCUUCUAUUCUAAAUAUUGAACUGAUCCCCUCUCAAGUCACAUUAUUGCUUCUGGAAACUAGAAGCAGUUACCAUGCAUCCUGCUAACACAUCAAAAGGUGCAGCCUCGAAUCUGGGAUCUGUUGCUGUCUUUAAAAAAUGACUUGAAAGAAUCCCUAAGAAGAAACAACGGAUUUUUCAGGUUUUUAGCAUUUCCCUUCAUUUAUGCUUUUCACAGUCUGUGUCUCCUAAAACUUUUCUAGCAACAUUUAUAAUAAUAUAAUAUAUAUAAUAUAGUCACAGACAAUAUAUAACAGAGCAAAAUCAACUUUUGAAAUAAUCAGUGAGUCACAAUUUUAAAUUGUCACUGUUCAACUUUAAAAGGUACUUGUAAAAGAUGCACUUUGAUUAUCUCCCAAAUUAACAAAUAUCAGAGUUUAAUGAAUAGAAAUUUAGCAAAAGUUCAUGAAAAUAAUACCCUUGUCUUUUGCCUGUUAAUCCUACUAUCCUUAAUACGCCUAUUCUGAGGUACUGUAAUUAUAUUAAGUCUUUUAAUAAGCUUUAUUUUCCCAACAAGUGGAAUGUACACACAAUUUCAUUCUGCAGAACAAAGGAAUAACUUUCUGUAUUGCAUAGAUGUAAAGCUUGAAAAUUAUAAUUAAAGGAUUGGGAAUGUAGAAGGAAAUUACAGUAGAAUUUUUUUCAAGUACAAUCCUUUCAUUCACAUCAUUAUUUAAUUUCAUUUUCUAGAAACAGAAGGCAGAUGGUCUAAAAAAUUAAAUCUUAUGCUAUCAUCAAGGAUCUUGGUAUUGCUUUCCAGUCACUCUCUCCUUCACAAAUGGAUCUUUCCAAAUCCAUUAUCAGCCACACUUUCUUAAUUCUUUUAGAAAAUAGAGUUGAAAGAAUUGAUCAAAAUUUUCCGUGGUUUUACCAGCAUGACCAUGGGAAUCUGAAUGCUGAACUUUAAAUAAAAAUGAUCCCUCACUACAAGACAGACAUUAACCUAUAAACUGGUCACUGAAAAACAUCUAACUACUAAUCACUGAAUCUUAACAUCUGCUGCCUGAAAGUCACACCAGCUGACCUCCUUUUCAUCGCCAGAUAUUGACGUGGCUUCAAUUAUGCUUCAAAAGUUACUGAAUGUUUCUUUGCAACCCACUCACAGCCCUCACAGCUAAGGAAAAGCCCAGGCUAAUGGGAUGUACUCAUGCUGAUUCUGAGUAUAUAAUCAGGCUUCAUUCCACAAAGUAAGUUUUUGGUCAUCCAUGCUCUGCUGAUGUCUUCUGGGACCUAUGCUCACUUGCAGCAUUCAACGGGUUUGAAAAAACGCAGCAAGAGAAGAAGAGCACUGCAAGUGUAUCCAGUCUCAUUCAGUGUUAAGUGUGUUCUGGUUUGACAGCACUUUGGCUUGGGAAAUAAAUGAAGAAGCAAGGAAAUAUCGAAGACCUUGUCAGGACUGAGUUGGAGAUCUCUGCUCGUGCUGGAAAGCUGGUCUGGGUCUCUGCACACAGUGAGGGCUGCAAGUGCAGACAGCGGUAAAAUGGAACAGCAAGUCCCAGGCUACCCAGGUGCUAUUUACCAACAGAAAUACACAGCUUAGUAAGGCUCUGAAUCCCAUCUGCCUGUGGAGACCAUUAGUAAGGCCCCUGCAGCAUCUUCAAGGAAAGGCUCUGGGCCAUUUUCUUCUUCCUGACAUGCUCACUUCAAAGAGGUAACAAGAUGCCUGGAGGAUGGACAGAAUAUGGAAGCCCUUUGCUGCCUAUGAUUCAUAGUCCAAGCUUACUUGUACAGAGCAGUUACCAAGACGUAUCUUAAGAAUGACCAAAAUGGAAAGCAGAGGGUGACUUCCCUAAAUCUUCUUCCAGCUUCCUAGAAAACCAGCUUCUUGUGAAAAGAAGCAGACAUUGGGACAGGACACCAGCCUUGAGACAGAGGUCCUGGACUUCACUUGGAGCUCUGCCACUGAAUUGCUAUUUGAC
Molecule: long non-coding RNA, 7356 nt
Organism: Corvus hawaiiensis (hawaiian crow)
Lineage: Eukaryota; Metazoa; Chordata; Aves; Passeriformes; Corvidae
Exons: 4
Source: RefSeq, a predicted model, not a curated record